CCCUUAGAUGUUCUGGGCCGCACGCGCGCUACACUGAUUCAUGCACUAAGUAUAUAACCUUGGUAGAAAUGCUUGGGUAAUCUUUGAAACUGAAUCGUGCUGGGGAUUGGAGCUUGUAAUUAUUCUCCAUGAACGAGGAAUUCCUAGUAAACGCGAGUCAUCAGCUCGCAUUGAUUACGUCCCUGCCCUUUGUACACACCGCCCGUCGCUCCUACCGAUUGAGUGGUCCGGUGAGGCUUUGGGAUCUGAGCGGAAAGAGCGUUUCGCUGUUUCUACUCGGAAAACUCAGUCGAACCUUAUCAUUUAGAGGAAGGAGAAGUCGUAACA
RNAcentral lists this ribosomal RNA (327 nucleotides) under uncultured eukaryote. Its description in RNAcentral is "partial 18S ribosomal RNA". It matches the Rfam family "Eukaryotic small subunit ribosomal RNA", at positions 1470 to 1796 of the family's 1831-position model. The record is from RNAcentral.